GGGCAGAGCCGAGGUACUGGGUGGCAGAACAGGGUGUGGCAGGUACACUGGCCCAGGCCUCCAUCGCUCCCUCUGCGCUGCAGCCCGGCCAGUUCCGCUCCUUCUCCCCCAGAUCCUGCGGUGGCGCGGCGCGGCGCUGAGAGGAGCUGAGUGCCUCAGUGGAGCCCAAGUCAGGAAACGCGUCCAGGAAAAAGGAAAUCCGCUUUCCGACCAAGCUGGCGGGUUCCUUAUAUAGGGGGUGCUGGGGCCCAGAGAACCGACCAGGAGCCGGAGAGGGAGACAGCAGUCGAGACAGGGAAAGGGAGCCCCGACACCCAAAGGAAAGAGCGUCAGUGAUUCGAUUUGCGGAGCCCCAGGGAUUAAAAAGACGACCAGGAGCCUCAGUGGAGAGGAGGGAGCAUUUAAGUCUGACAGAAAGGUAGAGGGAUAAAGGAAAGGGAAAUUGAAUGGAGGUGUAAGACUGGAGGAUUGUCAGAGCUCCUGGUGUGGUAUUUCUUGACAGCCUGGCACUGCUAUCCAACCACAAUCUUAGACAAGUCUGAGUUCAAGAGAAUGGAUCCUGGAUACCUCCCCCUGCCAUAACUCAUGGAUGCUGGGAGGACACAUCAUCCCAAGAAAUCUAGUCAACCAAGUCACAGAACAAAGGUGCGUGGAAAGGCCAAAGAAGUCCAGAAGAUCGAGGGGAGCCUAAACCCUUUGGUGUUCAACAAGGGUCCAGUCAGAGGGAAUCCAAGGACAGAGCACCAUGUCUGAGAUCUGGCAAUGGCCAGAAUGCCAGAGCUUCAAGGAAUACUAAGUUUUAGAUAAUAUAGUGGACAAAGAUAGGGGGCUGGACUCUCAGUUUUUUUUGGGGGGGGAGUUCCUUAGGAACUCCCUAAUUAAAGAAACUCUGGCUACCAAUGCAAGUUGGUACCUUCUUUGCAACUUUUAGUCUUAGAGGAUGGCCUAGAUGGUGAGGAGAUUAGAGACUAGCUGCUAUUUCUCUGAGGCCUGCACAGCUUAGAGAAGGGACUUGAACCCAGGUCUUCCUGUUUCCAAGGCCAGCUGUCACUUACUAUACCACGAUGACUCUUUGACAAAGGUAGAACUGAAAGUUAGGUAUCCUAACACUCAGUUCAUCUCAAUCUUAGCGCAAUGGGAGAAUCCUGCUAAUUAAUGUCUAUCAUUGGCUGCUUUCCAUUUGCCCCUCCCCUCCACAUUUACCUCCCGCCAACCACAUUUUACUUGGCCAAACUUCCCUCAUUCAUUUAUAAAGGGGGAAAGGUCUUGGCUGAGAUAGUUGUCCAGGAUGCUUUCCUUCUGAUCCCCCCAGAACUCUGCUUGCUGCUUACCCCGUAUCCUCUGAAAAGAAACCCUAUUCAUUGCUACCACACCUCUCUCCCGCCCCCAACAAGUCUAGGUCUCCUUUAGACUCUGAUAAAUUAUUCCUUGUCAGUAAUACCAAGGUUUCUGGGUAGGGGGGAGGGAAGAUGGAGAGAAAGGAACUUAGGGCCCUCCUGCCACCAUCUUUACCCUGCCUCCUUGGUGCUAUCCAGUUCUCCUAGAUGACACAGUGGAGAGAGUGUUGGGCUU
Phascolarctos cinereus (koala) is the source of this 1572-nucleotide non-coding RNA. NCBI's taxonomy places the organism in Eukaryota, Metazoa, Chordata, Mammalia, Diprotodontia, Phascolarctidae. The record is from RefSeq and is a predicted model, not a curated record.